Molecule: ribosomal RNA, 242 nt
Filed under: uncultured eukaryote
Lineage: Eukaryota
Description: partial 18S ribosomal RNA
Rfam family: Eukaryotic small subunit ribosomal RNA
Source: RNAcentral
CGUAGUUGGAUUUCUGGUCUGAUGCCCUGGCCCGCGCCAAAUACGGUGUGUGUGCCGGCUGUGCGUCUACCAUCCUUCUAGCAAACCUUCCUACCCUUCACUGGGCCGGGUUGGCGAGUUAGAUCUUUUACUUUGAAAAAAUUAGAGUGUUUAAAGCAGGCUUUUGCUAUGAAUACAUUAGCAUGGAAUAAUAAUCUAGGACUUCGGUUCUAUUUUGUUGGUUUCUAGUACUGAAGUAAUGA